UACGUAGGGUGCAAGCGUUAAUCGGAAUUACUGGGCGUAAAGCGUGCGCAGGCGGCUAUGCAAGACAGAUGUGAAAUCCCCGGGCUCAACCUGGGAACUGCAUUUGUGACUGCAUGGCUAGAGUACGGCAGAGGGGGAUGGAAUUCCGCGUGUAGCAGUGAAAUGCGUAGAUAUGCGGAGGAACACCGAUGGCGAAGGCAAUCCCCUGGGCCUGUACUGACGCUCAUGCACGAAAGCGUGGGGAGUAAACAGG
Molecule: ribosomal RNA, 253 nt
Filed under: uncultured bacterium
Lineage: Bacteria
Description: partial 16S ribosomal RNA
Rfam family: Bacterial small subunit ribosomal RNA
Source: RNAcentral